Molecule: ribosomal RNA, 279 nt
Filed under: Triticum aestivum (bread wheat)
Lineage: Eukaryota; Viridiplantae; Streptophyta; Magnoliopsida; Poales; Poaceae
Description: partial small subunit ribosomal RNA
Source: RNAcentral
CAAUAUUAGGGCCAUGUUCAGAAUCUCACCAUCAUUCUUAAAGCAGGUGCAUCACAAGAUCUUUGGGUUUGGCACAUUUUCUUUGGCAUGCUCAAGUCUCACAAUGAUAUCUACAUGUUGCGGCGGUCUCCAUUGUUUACUAGAUUGAUUGAAGGUCAAGCUCCUUGGUGCAACUAUACCACCAAUGGUCAUGAUUACAACAUGGGCUAUUAUCUGGUUGAUGGUAUCUAUACUCCCUGGGCAACAUUUAUCAAGACUAUCUCUGACCUAGUUGGUUAG